This 250-nucleotide ribosomal RNA is filed under the name uncultured bacterium. RNAcentral's name for it is "partial 16S ribosomal RNA". It matches the Rfam family "Bacterial small subunit ribosomal RNA", at positions 524 to 776 of the family's 1533-position model. The record is from RNAcentral.
UACGUAGGUGGCAAGCGUUGUCCGGAUUUACUGGCGUAAAGGGCGUGCAGGCGGUUUGUUAAGUUCAGGGUGAAAGCUCCCGGCUCAACUGGGAGAGGUCCUUGGAUACUGGCAGACUUGAGGAGGGUAGAGGAGAGUGGAAUUCCCGGUGUAGUGGUGAUAUGCGUAGAUAUCGGGAGGAACACCAGUGGCGAAGGCGGCUCACUGGCCGGAACUGACGCUGACGACGCGAAGCGUGGGAGCAAACAGG